Spinacia oleracea (spinach) is the source of this 613-nucleotide long non-coding RNA. RefSeq lists it as uncharacterized. The transcript is spliced from 4 exons. Lineage: Eukaryota; Viridiplantae; Streptophyta; Magnoliopsida; Caryophyllales; Amaranthaceae. The record is from RefSeq and is a predicted model, not a curated record.
UAGGAAUUCAUUGGUUUCUGGAGCACAGACCGGAGUAAAAGAUGGCAAAAGUCCUAAGGUUUUGGUCAUUUCUCUGCCUAUUACUACGUGGCUCCUCUAUUGAUGAUCACCAGGUCAAAUAAUGGCAUCUAUGUAGCAUCUUUCAUUGUCAUUAUUUGUGUGUGGAGCCUGAAAAUAAUUUUGAUGCCUUAAAUUUUUGUUAAGUUUGACACUUAGGUUAUGCAUUAAAACUCGAGAAUUAUGAUGAGUACAGUGGUGUUCGUACUGAAGAAGUCCUAACUAAUGCUCUGGCAAUUAUUUAUGAAUCUAAAAGAACUCAGCAAGAAUGCAUCUUAUUGUGAGAAGAAGAGGGAGACGUAAAUGUUGGGGUUGCACCUUUACAUAUCCUGUUCUCAUGGCUGCUAUAUUCUCUUGUAUCAGUACUUUUCAGAUUGUCAGUUUCCAAGUUAUGACAAGGAGCAUAUUGACGAAGUAAGAACUGAGUGGGUGCGCCAUGUUGUUCAACAAAUUGUAUAAUCGCUAGGUUACGUUGAAUGAACCAACAAACAUACAACUUUAUUAAUUAAUGUAUUUUGCGUAGUUUAAUGUUUAGAAUUUUAUUUUGGAUCUAUGU